Molecule: ribosomal RNA, 460 nt
Filed under: uncultured bacterium
Lineage: Bacteria
Description: bacterial SSU rRNA
Rfam family: Bacterial small subunit ribosomal RNA
Source: RNAcentral
AACGAACGCUGGCGGCAUGCCUAACACAUGCAAGUCGAACGAGAUCUUCGGAUCUAGUGGCGCACGGGUGCGUAACGCGUGGGAAUCUGCCCUUUGCUUCGGAAUAACAGUUAGAAAUGACUGCUAAUACCGGAUGAUGUCUUCGGACCAAAGAUUUAUCGGCAAAGGAUGAGCCCGCGUAGGAUUAGGUAGUUGGUGGGGUAAAGGCCUACCAAGCCGACGAUCCUUAGCUGGUCUGAGAGGAUGAUCAGCCACACUGGGACUGAGACACGGCCCAGACUCCUACGGGAGGCAGCAGUGGGGAAUAUUGGACAAUGGGCGAAAGCCUGAUCCAGCAAUGCCGCGUGAGUGAUGAAGGCCUUAGGGUUGUAAAGCUCUUUUACCCGGGAUGAUAAUGACAGUACCGGGAGAAUAAGCUCCGGCUAACUCCGUGCCAGCAGCCGCGGUAAAGUGACUACUG